CAUAUCAUGAUCUUUGUAAUGAAUCAUUCCUUUGAAUAGUUCUUGAAUAUGUUUUUAAACAUUUUUCAAAGAUUCUUUUGAAUAUUUUUUGAAUAUUUCUUGAAUAUUUCUUGAUUUUUUUUUAAAUCUUUUUUUUCACCAACCACUAACCCACUGGUUCCCAAUGGGGAUCACUCCUUUUGUUUUCCUGGCAACUUUGUACAAAGCAAGAUAUGUGGUAUACGCAGGUUUUCUUCCCCCUUCAUCACAUAUAAUGAUCUUUGUAUUGAAUCAUUCCUUAUAAUAUUUCUUGAAUAUUUCUUGAAUAUUUCUUGAUUUUUUUUUAAAUCUUUUUUUUUCACCAACCACUAACCCACUGGUUCCCAAUGGGGAUCACUCCUUUUGUUUUCCUGGCAACUUUGUACAAAGCAAGAUAUGUGGUAUACGCAGGUUGUCUUCCCUCUUUAUCACGUAUCAUAAUCUUUGUAAUGAAACUUUCCUUUGGAUAGUUCUUUAACAUGUUUUUGAGUAUUUUUCGAAUACCUCUUUGCAUAUUUCUUGAAUAUUUCUUGAAUAUUUCUUUAUUUUUUUUUAAAUCUUUUUUUUUUCACCAACCCUUUACCCACUGGUUCCCAAUGGGGAUCACUCCUUUUGUUUUCCUGGCAACUUUGUACAAAGCAAGAUAUGUGGUAUACGCAGGUUUUCUUCCCUCUUCAUCACAUAUCAUGAUCUUUGUAAUGAAUCAUUCCUUUGAAUAGUCCUUG
This is a long non-coding RNA of Gasterosteus aculeatus aculeatus (three-spined stickleback), 743 nucleotides long. The record is from Ensembl. NCBI's taxonomy places the organism in Eukaryota, Metazoa, Chordata, Actinopteri, Perciformes, Gasterosteidae.